This 433-nucleotide ribosomal RNA is filed under the name uncultured bacterium. RNAcentral's name for it is "partial 16S ribosomal RNA". It matches the Rfam family "Bacterial small subunit ribosomal RNA", at positions 30 to 507 of the family's 1533-position model. The record is from RNAcentral.
AACGAACGCUGGCGGCAGGCUUAACACAUGCAAGUCGAGCGAGACCUUCGGGUCUAGCGGCGGACGGGUGAGUAACGCGUGGGAACGUUCCCUUCUCUACGGAAUAGCCCCGGGAAACUGGGAUUAAUACCGUAUACGCCCUUUUGGGGAAAGAUUUAUCGGGGAAGGAUCGGCCCGCGUUGGAUUAGUUUGUUGGUUGGGUAAUGGCCCACCAAGCCGACUAUCCAUAGAUGGUUUGAGAGGAUGAUAAGCCACACUGGGACUGAGAAACGGCCCAGACUACUACGGGAGGAAGCAGUGGGGAAUAUUAGAAAAUGGGGGAAAACAUGAAAAAGCCAUGACGGGUGAGUGAUGAAGGACUUAGGGAAGUAAAGCUAUAUAAGCUGGGAAGAGAAUGACGGUAACAGAAGAAGAAGCCCCGGCUAACUACGUG